GACAUCCAGGGCUUUCCAUCAAUAUAUAAUAGUCCAUACUUUGGCCGAGUUUAAAUGACGUAAAUAGGCGUUGAACGCCAGUUCUACGCUGCAGUCUGGAGUUAAACGCCAGAAACACGUUACAAGCCAGAGUUGAACGCCAGAAAUAUGUUACAAACUGGCGUUCAACUCCAAGAAUGACCUCUCCACGUGGAAACUUCAAGCUCAACCCAAACACACACCAAGUGGGCCCCGG
Molecule: long non-coding RNA, 235 nt
Filed under: Arachis ipaensis
Lineage: Eukaryota; Viridiplantae; Streptophyta; Magnoliopsida; Fabales; Fabaceae
Description: long non-coding RNA (AIPA_LNC002207)
Source: RNAcentral